Long non-coding RNA from Stegostoma tigrinum, 1437 nucleotides. RefSeq lists it as uncharacterized. The record is from RefSeq and is a predicted model, not a curated record. NCBI's taxonomy places the organism in Eukaryota, Metazoa, Chordata, Chondrichthyes, Orectolobiformes, Stegostomatidae. The transcript has 3 exons.
UCUCAAGCUUUUGGAGCUCUGCUACAUUGUCAGGUGAAGUUGAAGAAAAGAAACAUCCUAAUAAUUAUCAACUGAAUGUACGUUAAUCUGUUUGAGAUUGUCAAACUUGGCUGAUGCUGAUUUACAGAAUGUUUCUCUUCUGUUUUCAUCCAGGCAAAUACAUGAAGGACCAAGACAAAGUAUCAUUUCCUUGGUGCAAAGCCAAGUGUGAGCAGCUGCUUCUCACAAACAGCAGAAAACGGCAGGGACAAUGACAGUUCUGCACACGUUCCGAAUGCCAAACAACUGACAGACAAACACUUGAAGGAACAAGACAAUGUAUCAUUUCUUCAGUACAAAGCUCCUCCUAACAAACAGCAGAUAUGUUCCCAUUAUCACAGCAUGAGAACAUCCUUUCCCCAGUCACAGAGCAGAUUGAAUCAGACACACGUUGAGCUUUAAUUUCCAGUCAGACACGUUAAAGCCGACAAUAAAACAACACAGAGGAAUGCCACUUUAUUUUGCUUCUCUCUCCAUUCAAAAUACCCAGUUCGAACAGGUUUCACCUAAAAUAACCCAUUGACAUUUACACCAUUUUUGAAGAUGGGUAGACUGAAUCCUUGUCCAAAGUAUACCAUCAGGAAUUGAAGGAAAUCUGCAUAGAAUUACUCAAAUAUCAACUCCACAUAAUGAAUCACACCUCCACCGAUAAUAUUACUGGCUGGCUGACAACUGAUCCACUUUUAGGAGUAGAAAUACCUAACCUCAAGCAUUCAUAUUGCAGGGUCAGACAGGAAAAAAGUGGUAUUUGACCAUAUUAAUACUUCAGAAACUGCAAGUAAAAGGUUGAUUAAAAAUGUUCACAUAGUCACAUAAUAGAAACUAUUAUGCACAUAUUCAUUGCUGUACUCGCAUUCACAGAGACUGAAACUGGCAGGAAUAUAUUGAUGAUAACACUCCCAAUUUCACAGAGCAUCAAGUGACAGCUACAAACUUAGAACUGCAAUCACAAAUCCACAGACAGACAGGCACGGAUUGCUGACUGUACUCAAAUAUUCAGAGUAGGUUCUCACAGGUACAUCUUGGUAACUGGACGCUCAAAUUGACAGAGAAGCAAAUGAUAGGUGCACAUUGCUUUCACUCACAUAUCCAAAUGGACGAACUUGACAGGAACAGAUUGAUAACAACCUUGGACAUAGCAAGAACUGCAAAUGCUGGAAUCAGCCUUCCCAGUUAUACGCAGCAUAAACUGACUGACAUGUAUGGUUUGAUAAUUACUCUCAUUCACAGAGCGGAAUCUGAAACGUCCUUAUUGAUAACUGCACUCACAUGGCCACCAAGCAGAAACUGACAGAGUUUGAUCACAGUGACAGCCAAAUUGCGGAAAUUGACAGAUACAUGUUGAUAAUCGUUUUCACUGAAAUGUCAAGGUCAGUUCAUUAAAUACGCUGCUGUUGA